UACGUAGGGUGCAAGCGUUAAUCGGAAUUACUGGGCGUAAAGCGUGCGCAGGCGGUGAUGUAAGACAGUUGUGAAAUCCCCGGGCUCAACCUGGGAACUGCAUCUGUGACUGCAUCGCUGGAGUGCGGCAGAGGGGGAUGGAAUUCCGCGUGUAGCAGUGAAAUGCGUAGGUAUGCGGAGGAACACCGAUGGCGAAGGCAAUCCCCUGGGCCUGCACUGACGCUCAUGCACGAAAGCGUGGGGAGCAAACAGG
RNAcentral lists this ribosomal RNA (253 nucleotides) under uncultured bacterium. RNAcentral describes it as "partial 16S ribosomal RNA". It matches the Rfam family "Bacterial small subunit ribosomal RNA", at positions 524 to 776 of the family's 1533-position model. The record is from RNAcentral.